AGUGAACGCUGGCGGUAGGCCUAACACAUGCAAGUCGAACGGCAGCACAGUAAGAGCUUGCUCUUACGGGUGGCGAGUGGCGGACGGGUGAGGAAUACAUCGGAAUCUACUUUUUCGUGGGGGAUAACGUAGGGAAACUUACGCUAAUACCGCAUACGACCUACGGGUGAAAGCAGGGGAUCUUCGGACCUUGCGCGAUUGAAUGAGCCGAUGUCGGAUUAGCUAGUUGGCGGGGUAAAAGCCCACCAAGGCGACGAUCCGUAGCUGGUCUGAGAGGAUGAUCAGCCACACUGGAACUGAGACACGGUCCAGACUCCUACGGGAGGCAGCAGUGGGGAAUAUUGGAGAAUGGGCGCAAGCCUGAUCCAGCCAUACCGCGUGGGUGAAGAAGGCCUUCGGGUUGUAAAGCCCUUUUGUUGGGAAAGAAAAGCAGCAGGUUAAUACCCCGCUGUUCUGACGGUACCCAAAGAAUAAGCACCGGCUAACUUCGUG
RNAcentral lists this ribosomal RNA (492 nucleotides) under uncultured bacterium. Its description in RNAcentral is "partial 16S ribosomal RNA". It matches the Rfam family "Bacterial small subunit ribosomal RNA", at positions 29 to 507 of the family's 1533-position model. The record is from RNAcentral.